This 594-nucleotide ribosomal RNA is filed under the name uncultured bacterium. RNAcentral describes it as "bacterial SSU rRNA". It matches the Rfam family "Bacterial small subunit ribosomal RNA", at positions 8 to 597 of the family's 1533-position model. The record is from RNAcentral.
AGAGUUUGAUCCUGGCUCAGAUUGAACGCUGGCGGCAUGCCUAAGACAUGCAAGUCGAACGGUAACGGGCCCUUCGGGGUGCCGACGAGUGGCGGACGGGUGAGUAACGCUUGGGAAUCUGCCUGGUAGUGGGGGACAACCCGGGGAAACUCGGGCUAAUACCGCAUACGCCCUACGGGGGAAAGCGGGGGAUCUUCGGACCUCGCGCUAUCAGAUGAGCCCAAGUCGGAUUAGCUUGUUGGUGGGGUAAGAGCCUACCAAGGCGACGAUCCGUAGCUGGUCUGAGAGGACGAUCAGCCACACUGGGACUGAGACACGGCCCAGACUCCUACGGGAGGCAGCAGUCGGGAAUAUUGGACAAUGGGGGAAACCCUGAUCCAGCAAUGCCGCGUGUGUGAAGAAGGCCUGCGGGUUGUAAAGCACUUUCAGCGAGGAGGAAAAGCUCAGGGUUAAUACCUCUGAGUCUUGACGUUACUCGCAGAAGAAGCACCGGCUAACUCCGUGCCAGCAGCCGCGGUAAUACGGAGGGUGCGAGCGUUAAUCGGAAUUACUGGGCGUAAAGCGCGCGUAGGCGGUUGCGUAAGUUGGGGUGUG